AGUGUAUUGAUCAGCGUGGAGCUUCAGCAUGGGUGUUUGACCUUACAACUCGGCAUUGAUCAAUCGUGGUUGUAGAGUCAUGCACCUCUGCCGACUCUCCGGCUCUGUGUACUGCU
This 116-nucleotide microRNA precursor is filed under the name Physcomitrium patens. RNAcentral describes it as "Physcomitrella patens miR1223g stem-loop (ppt-MIR1223g)". The stretch from base 16 to 102 matches the Rfam family "MIR1223 microRNA precursor family". Lineage: Eukaryota; Viridiplantae; Streptophyta; Bryopsida; Funariales; Funariaceae. The record is from miRBase by way of RNAcentral.